RNAcentral lists this ribosomal RNA (498 nucleotides) under Ammothea hilgendorfi. RNAcentral describes it as "partial 16S ribosomal RNA". The record is from RNAcentral. Lineage: Eukaryota; Metazoa; Arthropoda; Pycnogonida; Pantopoda; Ammotheidae.
UUUUGAUGAUAAUUAAUAUUAAAUUUGCCCUGCUCUAUGAUUAGUAAAUUAAAUGGCUGCAGUAAAUUGACUGUACAAAGGUAGCAUAAUAAUUUGUCUUUUAAUUGAAGACUGGAAUGAAUGGGUGGACGGAGAAAUUCUAUCUAAGUUUUUAUUAUUGAAUUUUACUUUUGUGUUAAAAGGCUUAUUAUUUAAAUUUUAUUAAGGGACGAGAAGACCCUGUCAAGUUUUAUAAUUUUAAUUUAUAAUUUCAUUAUUAUAAAUUAUUAUUAUUUUUCUGGGGCGGAACUAAUAUAAACUAUUAGAAAUUUUAUAAUUAUUGAAUUUAUUAUUGAUCUUAAUUAAUACUAAUUAAAAAAUUACUGCAGGGGUAACAGCAUAAUUAUUUUGGUAAGUUCAAAUUUAUAAAAUAGAUUAUGACCUCGAUGUUGGAUUAAGUUUACCUAAAAUAAUGAAAAAGUUUUAAAGGUUAGUCUGUUCGACUAUUAAAAAUUUACA